Mercenaria mercenaria is the source of this 1702-nucleotide long non-coding RNA. RefSeq lists it as uncharacterized. NCBI's taxonomy places the organism in Eukaryota, Metazoa, Mollusca, Bivalvia, Venerida, Veneridae. The transcript has 2 exons. The record is from RefSeq and is a predicted model, not a curated record.
CCUCAAGAACUUUGAAAUUCCUCUGGGUUUUAAUAGCUUUUUUUUCUCUCUUUUUUUAAAAGAAAAAUCUAAAAUAUCUGAAUUUACCAAAAAUAAACAUAGCUUCUACAUGGAACUUUGUUACAGGUGUAUCAUAUAGCGCAAGUCUAACAAAGUUGUAAAAAGUUUAUCACUGUAGAAUAUCAGAUAGUGUAAUAUGGCAGUUCAAUGAAAAAUGGAUGGAUUUACUAAACAUCUUAAAGCUUCAAAAACAAUUAGUGUGAUAGAACAUAUAUAAAAAUAAUAGUGAAAUUUACAACACACAUUCUCAAAACAUUUAACACUUGUCAACUUUAAAUACAACAAUACAAGCCAGGUAGUCUUCAAAUUGAUUAAAUAAUAAUAUACACAUCACACAUUCCAAUAUAAGGUUACAAUAUACGUAAAUAAGAUGGAAGAACUAAUGAUUUAAUACAAACAUGCUAUCCCUUUCAUACAUAGUACAUAUGUUUCGCUUGUGAUUCCUAACAAGGUAGUAUAUAUGUCUACAUACUGAUACAAAGGCUCUACUUAUCUUCUCUGUGCUUCUAUUUAAUAUACACGUAUGAAAAAAACAUCACACCUUUUGAUGUAAGGCAAAUAUCAGGGGGUUAUUCUUCAUCCCCGUAGUGGGAGUAUGUCACAAAAUCUAAUAAAAAAAGAAGUCAACCAGGUUUUUUUUAAGACAUUCACUGUUGUAUUCAUGUGUCAAUCUGCAUAAAAUAUUUCUGUGAGAUCAUUAAUUUUAACCAUGCAACAAUAGAACGAUUUAUGACAUUAAUUUCCAGUGCGGUAAAAGUCUUGAAUUAUGCAUAAUACGCUGUUCAUAUUUCCAUAACAAUCAAUAUUGUGUCCACAUGUGUCCGUAUAAACAUUUUCCCUAGAAAUUCUUUUUUCACUCUCAUUAGUGACUGCAUCUCUAAUGUCAGACUUGGAAACAUUCUGAAGAAUUACAAAAUAGAAAACAAAACUUGCAGCUUGAAUUGAGAGAUGAAAAAUGAUAUUUCUGUGAAAACUGAAUAUUAAUUUUCUUCAUGGUAACAACAUCGAUGAUAUGCCACUGUCCUGUUAUACAAACAUCAUAGCACAUCUAAAAAUACAUAUAAGAUUAUGACAAUCCUUAAGAGAACAUGUUUACAUGCCUGCAUAUACUAUUUCAUGUUGUUCUCUACCUUCCUUCUACAAUAAACCCCACUCACUCACAAAGCAACAAUGUCAUAACACUACAUAUAGCUAUCAAGAAUAACAUCGAAACAAUGCUUAACCCCAUUUAUAUCUUGUACACUCACAAACUGGAGAAAAAACUAGGUAAACUUAUGAGAAUGACUGAAUGGUUUUACUUUCAGUCAUGAAAUUUUAAUGUUUGCACACAUGCGUGGUGUGAUUUAUUGUUAUGAUAUAAGCGGUACUGCAAUAAACGGCAUAAUUACAAUUUACAGCGAUCAUGAUUUUCCAAACACGUGUUACCCUGUCAGGAGUCAUUUUUUACUGCUGUACAUCAAUUCACACAAUUCAUGUUUGUAUAAUCUGGGUAACUGAUUGAAAAGAUGAUAGGUAGACACUUUGGUGUCAUUUAAACGGUUGCGUUAAAAUUGACGUUUUCCUAGUCUGUUUUUCUUUUAUUUUUGCUAAUACAGUGACAUCAUACAUGUUUCUAGAUUAUGUUACAAUAUAUUUACUAAAA